GUGGGGAAUCUUGCGCAAUGGGGGAAACCCUGACGCAGCGACGCCGCGUGGAGGAUGAAGGUCUUCGGGUUGUAAACUCCUUUUCUCAGGGAAAAUAGUGAUGGUACCUGAGGAAUAAGCCACGGCUAACUCUGUGCCAGCAGCCGCGGUAAGACAGAGGUGGCGAGCGUUGUUCGGAAUUACUGGGCUUAAAGGGCGAGUAGGCGGUGAGGUAAGUCUGGGGUGGAAUCCUAUAGCUUAACUAUAGAAUUGCCUCAGAAACUACUUCACUUGAGUCAGUGAGGGGAGGGCAGAAUUCCUGGUGUAGCGGUGAAAUGCGUAGAUAUCAGGAGGAAGGCCUGUGGCGAAGGUGGCCCUCUGGCACUGCACUGACGCUGAGGCGCGAAAGCGUGGGGAGCAAACAGGAUUAGAAACCCGGGUAGUCC
RNAcentral lists this ribosomal RNA (425 nucleotides) under uncultured bacterium. RNAcentral's name for it is "bacterial SSU rRNA". It matches the Rfam family "Bacterial small subunit ribosomal RNA", at positions 354 to 796 of the family's 1533-position model. The record is from RNAcentral.